Molecule: ribosomal RNA, 1116 nt
Filed under: uncultured Hydrogenobaculum sp.
Lineage: Bacteria; Pseudomonadati; Aquificota; Aquificia; Aquificales; Aquificaceae
Description: bacterial SSU rRNA
Rfam family: Bacterial small subunit ribosomal RNA
Source: RNAcentral
AGCGCGAACGCUGGCGGCAUGCCUAACACAUGCAAGUCGUACGGAGAGUGGGGCAACUCACUCUCAGUGGCAAACGGGUGAGUAACGCGUGAAUAACCUGCCUUUGAGAAGGGGAUAACUGUCCGAAAGGAUAGCUAAUACCCUAUAUUGCCUUUUGUCACUAAGGCAAAAGGUGAAAGCGAGGCUGUCAAAGGCUUCGGCUCAAAGAGGGGUUCGCGUCCUAUCAGGUAGUUGGUGGGGUAAUGGCCUACCAAGCCAAUGACGGGUAGCUGGUCUUAGAGGAUGAUCAGCCACAGUGGGACUGAGACACGGCCCGCACCCCUACGGGGGGCAGCAGUGGGGAAUCGUGGGCAAUGGGCGCAAGCCUGACCCCGCAAUGCCGCGUGAGGGAAGAAGCCCUUCGGGGUGUAAACCUCUGUCAGAUGGGAAGAUGGGACUAGGCGCUAAUACCUCCUGGUCUUGACGGUACCAUCAGAGGAAGGGACGGCUAACUACGUGCCAGCAGCCGCGGUAAUACGUAGGUCCCGAGCGUUGCGCGAUGUUACUGGGCGUAAAGCGUCCGUAGCUGGUUUCGUAAGCGGAUUGUCAAAGCCCGAAGCUCAACUUCGGCAAGGCAUUCCGAACUGCGUUACUUGAGUCCUGUUCAGGUAGGCGGAAUUCCCGGUGUAGCGGUGAAAUGCGUAGAUAUCGGGAGGAACACCAGUGGCGAAGGCGGCCUACUGGGACGGUACUGACGGUCAUGGACGAAAGCUGGGGGAGCAAACCGGAUUAGAUACCCGGGUAGUCCCAGCCGUAAACGAUGGAUGUUAGGUGUAGUGAUAACUUCGCUGCACCCCAGCUAACGCGUUAAACAUCCCGCCUGGGGAGUACGGGCGCAAGCCUGAAACUCAAAGGAAUUGGCGGGGGCCCGCACAACCGGUGGAGCGUCUGGUUUAAUUCGAUGCUAACCGAAAAACCUUACCAGGGUUUGAAAUGGUAGGAAAGGCUGUCGAAAGAUAGCCGUGUUUCCCUUUUGGGAGAAAUCCUACCACAGGUGGUGCAUGGCCGUCGUCAGCUCGUGUUGUGAGAUGUUGGGUUAAGUCCCGCAACGAGCGCAACCCUUGUCCUUAUUUGCUU